This 378-nucleotide RNase P RNA is filed under the name human gut metagenome. RNAcentral describes it as "Bacterial RNase P class A". It matches the Rfam family "Bacterial RNase P class A". Rfam says of the family: Ribonuclease P (RNase P) is a ubiquitous endoribonuclease, found in archaea, bacteria and eukarya as well as chloroplasts and mitochondria. The record is from RNAcentral.
GGUCUGUCGCCGUGUGCCACCUAAGAGCACAGGGAGGAAAGUCCGGGCAACACAGAGCGUCAUACUUCCGAAAUGAAAGCUGUCGGCGACGGCAGGCAAGAUGUAACAGAGAAGAACCGCCACGCAGGCUGCGAGCCGCGUGGUAAGGGUGAAAAGGCGGGGUAAGAGCCCACCGGGCCCGUGGCGACAUGUGGCCGUCAGUACAUCCUAUGAGUUGCAAGGCCAAAUAUACCGGCAAUCAAGGGUUGCUCGCCCACUGCCGGGGGGUAGGCUGCUCAUUCGCGCGGGCAACCGUGCGAUUAGAUAAAUGACAGACACCGGCUCCGCGGCGUCCCAUCGAGCGGAGUACGGCACAUAACUCGGCUUACAGGGCUUCUG